GUUUGGGCAUUCAUAUGGUUAAUCAUCAUAU
This 31-nucleotide non-coding RNA is filed under the name Homo sapiens (human). Lineage: Eukaryota; Metazoa; Chordata; Mammalia; Primates; Hominidae. The record is from RNAcentral.